CUUCGUUUAAUAAUAUUGUAUAUAUGAAUCUAUGUAUAAGAGAUCCUGAUUCUUCUCAUUAUCAAAAUUUCUAUAGAAAAUUAAAACAAUUAAACAUGGAACAGUUGUUUAAAGUUGUGUUUCUCCUUGUACUGUUUUCCAUUGGCAAUGCAGGAGAAGCAAAAAAUUGUUAUGGAUGGAGCAAAAGAUUCAAAACCCUGUGUGUUAAUUUGGACUUGUGUAACAAUUCGUGCAAAAAAGAGGGAUUCAUAGAUGGAAAUUGCACUACGUUUGGGGAACGUCGAUGCUCCUGCAGAAAGACAUGUCCAUAAUAAAUAUUUUAAAGUUAAUUAUUCGAAUCCCAAAUUUAAAUAAGGAGUUUUGUAGUCAUACUGAUGCAUCACUCUACAAUAUCUUAUGUAUUACUCAUAGUUUUAUUGUGCUUUCAAUUACUAUUACAAAAUAUUUGAAGAUUUAGACUC
Long non-coding RNA from Capsicum annuum, 461 nucleotides. RefSeq lists it as uncharacterized. The transcript has 2 exons. Lineage: Eukaryota; Viridiplantae; Streptophyta; Magnoliopsida; Solanales; Solanaceae. The record is from RefSeq and is a predicted model, not a curated record.